GCAUAUCAAUAAGCGGAGGAAAAGAAACCAACAGGGAUUGCCCUUAGUAACGGCGAAGUGAAGCGGCAACAGCUUCAAAUUUGAAAUCUGGCUCUCGGGCCCGAGUUGUAAUUUGUAGAGGAUGCUUUUGAUGCGGUGCCUUCCGAGUUCCCUGGAACGGGACGCCAUAGAGGGUGAGAGCCCCGUCUGGUUGGAUGCCAAAUCUCUGUAAAGCUCCUUCGACGAGUCGAGUAGUUUGGGAAUGCUGCUCUAAAUGGGAGGUAUAUGUCUUCUAAAGCUAAAUAUUGGCCAGAGACCGAUAGCGCACAAGUAGAGUGAUCGAAAGAUGAAAAGCACUUUGAAAAGAGAGUUAAAAAGUACGUGAAAUUGUUGAAAGGGAAGCGUUUAUGACCAGACUUGGGCUUGGUUAAUCAUCUGGGGUUCUCCCCAGUGCACUUUUCCAGUCCAGGCCAGCAUCAGUUUUCGCCGGGGGAUAAAGGCUUCGGGAAUGUGGCUCCCUCCGGGGAGUGUUAUAGCCCGUUGCGUAAUACCCUGGCGGGGACUGAGGUUCGCGCAUCUGCAAGGAUGCUGGCGUAAUGGUCAUCAACGACCCGUCUUGAAACACGGACCAAGGAGUCGUCUUCGUAUGCGAGUGUUCGGGUGUCAAACCCCUACGCGUAAUGAAAGUGAACGCAGGUGAGAGCUUCGGCGCAUCAUCGACCGAUCCUGAUGUUCUCGGAUGGAUUUGAGUAAGAGCAUACGGGGCCGGACCCGAAAGAAGGUGAACUAUGCCUGUGUAGGGUGAAGCCAGAGGAAACUCUGGUGGAGGCUCGCAGCGGUUCUGACGUGCAAAUCGAUCGUCAAACAUGGGCAUGGGGGGCGAAAGACUAAUCGAACCUUCUAGUAGCUGGUUUCCGCCGAAG
Molecule: ribosomal RNA, 902 nt
Filed under: Fusarium chlamydosporum var. chlamydosporum
Lineage: Eukaryota; Fungi; Ascomycota; Sordariomycetes; Hypocreales; Nectriaceae
Description: LSU rRNA
Rfam family: Eukaryotic large subunit ribosomal RNA
Source: RNAcentral